GACGAACGCUGGCGGCGUGCCUAACACAUGCAAGUCGAACGGAGAUAUGAUUUCGGUUAUAUCUUAGUGGCGAACGGGUGAGUAACGCGUGAGCAACCUGACCUUCAGAGGGGGAUAACAUUUGGAAACAGAUGCUAAUACCGCAUAAGACCACGACCCGACAUCGGGACGAGGUCAAAGGAGCAAUCCGCUGAGGGAGGGGCUCGCGUCCCAUUAGAUAGAUGGCGGGGUAACGGCCCACCAUGUCAGCGAUGGGUAGCCGAGCUGAGAGGCUGAUCGGCCACACUGGAACUGAGACACGGUCCAGACUCCUACGGGUGGCAG
This 324-nucleotide ribosomal RNA is filed under the name uncultured bacterium. Its description in RNAcentral is "bacterial SSU rRNA". It matches the Rfam family "Bacterial small subunit ribosomal RNA", at positions 28 to 351 of the family's 1533-position model. The record is from RNAcentral.